UCCGAUUUAUCACCGGCAGUCUCUCUAGAGUUCCCACCUUUACGUGCUGGCAACUAGAAACAGGGGUUGCGCUCGUUGCGGGACUUAACCCAACAUCUCACGACACGAGCUGACGACAACCAUGCACCACCUGUAUACCAGUCCCGAAGGACUAUGCUAUCUCUAGCAUAUUCUAGUAUAUGUCAAGCCCUGGUAAGGUUCUUCGCGUUGCUUCGAAUUAAACCACAUACUCCACUGCUUGUGCGGGCCCCCGUCAAUUCCUUUGAGUUUCAACCUUGCGGUCGUACUCCCCAGGUGGGAUACUUAUUGCGUUUGCGACGGCACAGAGUGUUUAAUACACCCUACACCUAGUAUCCAUCGUUUACAGUGUGGACUAC
Molecule: unclassified non-coding RNA, 377 nt
Filed under: uncultured Oscillospiraceae bacterium
Lineage: Bacteria; Bacillati; Bacillota; Clostridia; Eubacteriales; Oscillospiraceae
Description: contains 16S-23S intergenic spacer region
Source: RNAcentral